GAAGCUGGUAAGGUAGCCCAAGG
Molecule: non-coding RNA, 23 nt
Filed under: Rattus norvegicus (Norway rat)
Lineage: Eukaryota; Metazoa; Chordata; Mammalia; Rodentia; Muridae
Source: RNAcentral